CUACGGGUCGCUGCAGUGGGGAAUAUUGCACAAUGGGCGCAAGCCUGAUGCAGCCAUGCCGCGUGUAUGAAGAAGGCCUUCGGGUUGUAAAGUACUUUCAGCGGGGAGGAAGGGAGUAAAGUUAAUACCUUUGCUCAUUGACGUUACCCGCAGAAGAAGCACCGGCUAACUCCGUGCCAGCAGCCGCGGUAAUACGGAGGGUGCAAGCGUUAAUCGGAAUUACUGGGCGUAAAGCGCACGCAGGCGGUUUGUUAAGUCAGAGGUGAAAUCCCCGGGCUCAACCUGGGAACUGCAUCUGAUACUGGCAAGCUUGAGUCUCGUAGAGGGGGGUAGAAUUCCAGGUGUAGCGGUGAAAUGCGUAGAGAUCUGGAGGAAUACCGGUGGCGAAGGCGGCCCCCCGGACGAAGACUGACGCUCAGGUGCGAAAGCGUGGGGAGCAAACAGGAUUAGAUACCCCCGUAGUC
RNAcentral lists this ribosomal RNA (464 nucleotides) under uncultured bacterium. Its description in RNAcentral is "partial 16S ribosomal RNA". It matches the Rfam family "Bacterial small subunit ribosomal RNA", at positions 339 to 795 of the family's 1533-position model. The record is from RNAcentral.